This 319-nucleotide small RNA is filed under the name Pongo abelii (Sumatran orangutan). Its description in RNAcentral is "processed transcript". The record is from RNAcentral. Lineage: Eukaryota; Metazoa; Chordata; Mammalia; Primates; Hominidae.
AAGAGAAAAAUGAAGACAGGACAUUUUGAAAUAGUCACCAUGCUGCUGGCAACCAUGAUUCUCGUGGACAUUUUCCAGGUAAGAAAAACCGGAAGCUUGAAGACCAUGGUGAGAAAAAACAGAAGCUUGAAGACUAUGAUGUGAAAAUCCUUGAACCCACCCAAAUACCUGCUCCAGGUCCAGUUCCUGUUCCAGGUCCCAAAAGUCAUCCUUCUGCAUCCUCGGGCAAACUCCUGCUUCCACAGUUUGGGAUGGUCAUCAUUUUAAUCAGUGUUUCUGCUAUAAAUCUCUUUGUUGCUCUGUAGGUUGAUGCAUUAUC